CCUCCUCCCUUGUUUCUUUUGGCAAAGACAUUUCCUAUCUUUCUCCCAUGUCACACAAAAGGAAGCACCCAAUCUGCUUUGCAGUCAUCUCUCAAUACACACAUGCUAUACAGCAAGCAAACACAUCCUUCCUCCUGCGCUGCAGGCUGGGAUCCAAGUCUGACAAUAAGUAAUGAAGAGACUGAAAUGCUACACAGUCCAUGCACAGUGUAGCCAGAAGCUCUGAAAGGCAGAGGUCAUUGUACAACAUUCGGAUGUUUGAUUCUUUGCUGUUACAGAAAGCAUUCACUUCACAAAUAUUAUCAAGCAGGUUCAAAUAUACCAGCAGCUCAUGUGACUCCUACUGCCACAUUCAGAGGUCUCUAGAAAGCAGUGAACUGAAGAUUCACCUAAAUCCUUGUGUUUGCUAACAAUUAUGUGCAAAAACUGCACUUAAAAAUAUGAAGGGAGAGAUGGUAGGACCUUGGCAGUGUCCAGAGCAGGAAGACAGAGCAGUGAUGAUGGUAGCGCUAUGACUUACCUACAGACUUCCUAACAUCCUCAUGUUCAGAGGGGAUUAGCUCAUCUGCGAUCAAAGCAGAAGUUAAAAAACCUAAAGUCGUAGCCGCCCAUUUCAAUACAGUGAGAAGAAGGUGGCAAGGAAGAAAUUAAGGUUGUGGACAGCCAAGAUUUUUGUCUAGUUUCUUCACAGUGACACUGCAUUCCACUUAAUGGGCUCAGUGCUGAACUUCCUUUGACAGUGUUUUGUGACUGAGGCAUGCUGCUGAGUGAAGCAAAAGGCACCUCACAAGCUGAUUUUACCACCUACAGUGGGUAAUGGUAGACCUCAUUCAGAACACCAGUGUCACUUUCCUUUCACUUCCAAGAGAAGUAAAGCUACAUGU
Molecule: long non-coding RNA, 884 nt
Organism: Trachemys scripta elegans
Lineage: Eukaryota; Metazoa; Chordata; Testudines; Emydidae
Exons: 5
Source: RefSeq, a predicted model, not a curated record